This 407-nucleotide ribosomal RNA is filed under the name uncultured eukaryote. RNAcentral's name for it is "bacterial SSU rRNA". It matches the Rfam family "Eukaryotic small subunit ribosomal RNA", at positions 82 to 482 of the family's 1831-position model. The record is from RNAcentral.
UGAAACUGCGAAUGGCUCAUUAAAUCAGAAAUAGUCUAUUUGAUAAUACCUUACUACUCGGAUAACUGUAGUAAUUCUAGAGCUAAUACGUGCCAAAAGCUCCACUUAGAAAUGAGUGGGGUGUAUUUAUUAGAUAAAAAACCAAUGCACGGGGCAACUCGUGGUUAUUGUUGAAUCAUAAAAACUUUGCGAAUCGCAUGGCCUUGUGCUGGCGAUGAAUCAUUCAAAUUUCUGCCCUAUCAACUUUCGAUGGUAGUGUAGUGGACUACCAUGGUCGUAACGGGUGACGGAGAAUUAGGGUUCGGUUCCGGAGAGGGAGCCUGAGAGACGGCUACCACUUCCAAGGAAGGCAGCAGGCGCGCAAAUUACCCAAUGGCAAUACGCCGAGGUAGUGACAAUAAAUAACA